AAUAAAUUAAUAGUCGUUAAAUAUAUUGAAUUCGUAAAAGUAUCUAUGUGUUGAAUAUAUACGCCUAUUACUAAGAAUAUGUACUAAUACUUAGUCAGCUGAUAACUAAAGAGAAACCUAACCUUUUUAAAGGAUUUAUAUUAAUUUAGUGAGAAAAAAUGUUUGGUAACAAAGUUCUGCCUAAUAUGGUGCAAAAUGCACGAAUAAUAAUUGAAAUGAAAGAAUUAAAUACAAUAAAUAGGUUGCACGCGUUUGUUUUCUGAGAAAAAGACAAAUGGAAAAGUGGAAAGUGAAAGAAUUAAAGAAUUUAGGAAAAAAUUGCGUGAACGUACAUCGAUAGAAAAGUUGCCGGAGUUUGAAGAAGGAAAGCAUCCUUACCAGGAAAAAGAACCUUUGAAACCAUUUCCAGAUAAUACAAAUCCAAAAACAGGUGAAAUUGGUGGACCACGUGGACCAGAACCAACUCGUUAUGGGGAUUGGGAAAGAAAAGGACGUGUAACAGAUUUUUAGAUAUUAAUUUAGUACCAAUAUUAUUAUAAUUAUUUGAGGAGAAAUAUAUUAAUUAUGUAUCAUUAGCAACCUUUACAUUAUAAUGUUAUCAUGUAAAUUACAAAUAUAAAUUAUGCAUAGAAAGAUA
RNAcentral lists this unclassified non-coding RNA (637 nucleotides) under Polistes canadensis. RNAcentral describes it as "succinate dehydrogenase assembly factor 4, mitochondrial-like, transcript variant X2". The record is from RNAcentral. Lineage: Eukaryota; Metazoa; Arthropoda; Insecta; Hymenoptera; Vespidae.